GAUGAACGCUGGCGGCGUGCUUAACACAUGCAAGUCGAGCGAGUGAGUUCUUCGGAACGAUCUAGCGGCGGACGGGUGAGUAACACGUGGGCAACCUGCCUCAUAGAGGGGAAUAGCCUCCCGAAAGGGAGAUUAAUACCGCAUAAAAUUAUCGAGCGGCAUCACAUGAUAAUCAAAGGAGUAAUCCGCUAUGAGAUGGGCCCGCGGCGCAUUAGCUAGUUGGUGAGGUAACGGCUCACCAAGGCGACGAUGCGUAGCCGACCUGAGAGGGUGAUCGGCCACAUUGGGACUGAGACACGGCCCAGACUCCUACGGGAGGCAGCAGUGGGGAAUAUUGCACAAUGGGGGAACCCUGAUGCAGCAACGCCGCGUGAGUGAUGAAGGUCUUCGGAUUGUAAAGCUCUGUCUUUGGGGACGAUAAUGACGGUACCCAAGGAGGAAGCCACGGCUAACUACGUGCCAGCCGCCGCGGUAA
This 475-nucleotide ribosomal RNA is filed under the name uncultured bacterium. RNAcentral's name for it is "partial 16S ribosomal RNA". It matches the Rfam family "Bacterial small subunit ribosomal RNA", at positions 28 to 523 of the family's 1533-position model. The record is from RNAcentral.